GACGUAGGGCGCGAGCGUUGUCCGGAUUUAUUGGGCGUAAAGAGCUCGUAGGCGGCUCAUUGCGUCAACCGUGAAAACCUGCCGCUCAACGGUAGGCUUGCGGUUGAUACGGGUGGGCUGGAGUUCGGUAGGGGAGACUGGAAUUCCUGGUGUAGCGGUGAAAUGCGCAGAUAUCAGGAGGAACACCGGUGGCGAAGGCGGGUCUCUGGGCCGAUACUGACGCUGAGGCACGAAGGCCAGGGGAGCAAACGGG
This 253-nucleotide ribosomal RNA is filed under the name uncultured bacterium. Its description in RNAcentral is "partial 16S ribosomal RNA". It matches the Rfam family "Bacterial small subunit ribosomal RNA", at positions 524 to 776 of the family's 1533-position model. The record is from RNAcentral.